UACUAGAGUAGCACUCGCAUAUCAAUAAGCGGAGGAAAAGAAACUAACAAGGAUUCCCCUAGUAACGGCGAGUGAAGCGGGAAGAGCUCAAAUUUGAAAUCUUAAAGGGUUUCCCUUUACGAAUUGUAGUUUAAAGAAGUGUUUUCUGUUGAGGUUUUGGUAAAAGUUCUUUGGAAUAGGACAUCAUAGAGGGUGAGAAUCCCGUAUUUGACCUUUACUUUCAACUUUGUGAUACACUUUCAAAGAGUCGGAUUGUUUGGGAAUGCAGUCUAAAAUGGGUGGUAAAUUUCAUCUAAAGCUAAAUAUUGGCGAGAGACCGAUAGCGAACAAGUACCGUGAGGGAAAGAUGAAAAGAACUUUGAAAAGAGAGUUAAACAGUACGUGAAAUUGUCAAAAGGGAAAGCGUUUGACACCAGUGUUGUUUUUCUGAAAAUCAAUUAAAGAACUGUUUAUGCUAAGUUGUUUAGACUUUAUCAGCUAACUGUUUAGUUUUGAGCUUUUCUUUAAUGCACUUUUCAGUUAACAAGUCAACAUCAAUUUCUUUUGCUGUAAAAAAGCUUGAGGAAGGUGGCUUGAGAUUCGUCUUAAGUGUUUAUAGCCUCUUGCCUAUGCAGUCGGAGAGAUUGAGGUCUGCAGCGUAGAUCCUUCGGGGCUAAAUGCAUUUGUGCUAAGUUAUAGCAUUUUAUAGACAACUUGUUGACUAUGAUUUGUCUUGUAGCUUACUCGCUUAUGUUAUUUUACCUACGCUUAGGAUGUUGAACUACUGAGACAUAGA
RNAcentral lists this ribosomal RNA (775 nucleotides) under uncultured Neocallimastigales. RNAcentral's name for it is "partial large subunit ribosomal RNA". It matches the Rfam family "Eukaryotic large subunit ribosomal RNA", at positions 20 to 645 of the family's 3401-position model. The record is from RNAcentral. Lineage: Eukaryota; Fungi; Neocallimastigomycota; Neocallimastigomycetes; Neocallimastigales.